This 281-nucleotide long non-coding RNA is filed under the name Brassica rapa (field mustard). RNAcentral's name for it is "long non-coding RNA (BRAP_LNC004841)". The record is from RNAcentral. Lineage: Eukaryota; Viridiplantae; Streptophyta; Magnoliopsida; Brassicales; Brassicaceae.
AAAACUUUAUGUUAUAUUUAUGACACAGACUCGCAAACACGGCCUAUAUUUAAUAUAAAAACGAAAUUAAAAUUUCCCACUAUCAGUUGUCUUCUUCUUCUCGUAUAUUGUUAACCUACACACUUGUUCAAAAUCAUUGGCUGUUUCUUCCGAAUUACUUACUUUAAAACAAAUAAAAUAGAAAAAAAAAAGAUCUCAUCACUAACGAUAGGCUAUCAUUUUUCAUACAUGACAUGAGCAAUUAUUAGGUCUGACAAUUUAUAAAUAUGUAUGUGUGUGGG